Molecule: long non-coding RNA, 295 nt
Organism: Daktulosphaira vitifoliae (grape phylloxera)
Lineage: Eukaryota; Metazoa; Arthropoda; Insecta; Hemiptera; Phylloxeridae
Exons: 4
Source: RefSeq, a predicted model, not a curated record
GAGAAUUAUAGUAAAAAUAUUUUCUUUUACGAAAUAUUGUGCUAGUGUUUCAUUCUGAUUUACUGAAAAUAUGAUGAAAAUAAUUCAUUCCGUUCGUUCAUCAGCUACACUGAAAUGUUUAUGGAUCAAUAGUAAGCCGACCAUUAUUAAGCUUCUUCGCCUUCUGGAAUGCAUUCUUUAUGCUAUCCAAGUUGUUACAUGGUUUGCAUUAGACAACACAAAUAGGUUGAUUAAACAUCUAGACCGCCACGUUCAUUUUGAUAACAAUAUUACCUGCAUUGAAUAUGAAGUGGAC